This 272-nucleotide ribosomal RNA is filed under the name uncultured bacterium. RNAcentral describes it as "partial 16S ribosomal RNA". It matches the Rfam family "Bacterial small subunit ribosomal RNA", at positions 84 to 354 of the family's 1533-position model. The record is from RNAcentral.
CCGUAGUCUUAGUGGCGGACGGGUGAGUAACGCGUGGGCGAACCUGCCCUGUACCGGGGGAGUAACACUUAGAAAUAGGUGCUAAUACCGCAUAAUAAGGAAGACCGCAUGGUGAUCCUUUGAAAACUACCGGUGGUACAGGAUGGGCCCGCGUCUGAUUAGCCAGUUGGCGGGGUAACGGCCCACCAAAGCGACGAUCAGCAGCCGGCCUGAGAGGGUGGACGGCCACACUGGGACUGAGACACGGCCCAGACUCCUACGGGAGGCAGCAG